This 109-nucleotide non-coding RNA is filed under the name Micrococcus sp. Its description in RNAcentral is "TPP sequence". It matches the Rfam family "TPP riboswitch aptamer (THI element)". Rfam says of the family: Vitamin B(1) in its active form thiamin pyrophosphate (TPP) is an essential coenzyme that is synthesised by coupling of pyrimidine and thiazole moieties in bacteria. The record is from RNAcentral. Lineage: Bacteria; Bacillati; Actinomycetota; Actinomycetes; Micrococcales; Micrococcaceae. RNAcentral also lists the same sequence under 1 other name.
GCACAUCGACAGGGGAGCGCCCGCACGGGGCGCUGAGAGUGCGCCCGAUGCGCAGACCCUCGAACCUGCUCCGGCUCGCACCGGCGAAGGAAGUCGAGAACCUCUCAAC